Molecule: long non-coding RNA, 3001 nt
Filed under: Sus scrofa (pig)
Lineage: Eukaryota; Metazoa; Chordata; Mammalia; Artiodactyla; Suidae
Description: lncRNA (ENSSSCG00005004113.1)
Source: RNAcentral
AGUGAGAUAUUUUCUCAAGUAAGUUAAAUAUCUCUCUGAGCUUCAUUUAUUUUAUAGUGCAUUUUUUUUCAUUUUUUCAAGUUUUGUUGAAGUAUAGCUGAUUUACAAUGAGGUGAUAAAUUCUGCUGUACAGCAAAGUGAUUCAGUUAUACAUAUGCCCACGCAUUCAUUCUUUUUCAGAUUUUUCUCCCACAUUAUCACAGAAUACUGGGUAGAGUUCCCUGAGCUAUAGAGCAGGUCCCCAUUGCCACAUGGGGCUAACAGCUGCCAUACUGGACAGCACUGGGGUAACUGCUCCACAUCCUUAGCUAGCGAGUGAAAGGCACAAAGCAGAGGCCCAGUGAACACUCUGUGAACAUGUGGGAUAAGAUAGGAGCCAUUGUUUCUCCUGAAAGGUAAGAGAUUCCGUUUGUUAUUGAAACAUACACGAACCAAUACAAGCUUCAUGUUGUUUGAGGAUGAGGCAGAGACAAAGGAGACUGGAAAGUAGGCAGAAGUCAGUUAACGGAAGGCCUUUUAUAACUGAGACAUUUGAAUUUUAUCCUGAAGGAAAGAUAAUGGAUCUUGUGACACCAUUCAGGUUUGAUGGGCCCUACGUGAGUCAGGGAGAGUGACUAGGGAGCUGGUAUAACAUCCAAGCAGUGAGGCCUGGUACUGCAACAAAGUACAGCUCCACUAGAAAGGCACACACACCUUUCCCCAUCGACCUACAGAUGGAGCAGUCUGUUGGACUCCAUGUAAAAGGGGAAUUUGGGGGCCCAGCCAGUGAGGGAACCAUCAACCUGGCCUCUUACAUUUGCUGCGGCUUCACUUUCAUCUUGUAGCUGUUGGCUGUGAGGCAUGAUUCCACAGAUUCAUCAUGGUGGAAGGCUUUGCCCUCAUGAAAAGGAUUGUGGAUCUAUUUAAAGGUCACUUUCACAUGUCAAGGUCAUUUUUUCUUAUUUUUCUUUUAGCCCAGGCCAGACCUCAGAAGCUCCAGCUUUUCAGUGUAUUCCAGCUGGGGUGGGGGUUUUUCCUCCCUGUACUUUUUUCACCCACAAAUGAUACUCCAUAAAACAAGAGACAAAAGAGAAAAAAAAAAAAGCAGUGAUAGUUUAGAUAAUUCUGCACCAUCCAUAGGCAGGGAACUAGGGGCAGGAGUGGAAUAGAAAGUCCACACAAAUAAAUCAGUGUUGAUCUGAAGUUAACACAUCAAAAUCCAUUCCAUAGAUCUGAACUAUUGUAUUUUGAGAAUUUCAGCUGUUUAGCUUUUCAGCAGGUAUCAGGGAACACACUUUGGUCCUGCAUUACCAUAAAGAACUCUUUUUGGUUUUGUUUUUGUCUUUGUAUUUUAGGCUGCACACGUGGCAUGUGGAGGUUCCCAGGCUAGGUGUCCAAUCGGAGCUGUAGCGGCCAGCCUACACCACAGCCACAACAAUGGGGGAUCUGAGCUGUGUCUACGACCUACACCACAUCUCAUGGCAAUGCUCAAUCCUUAACCCACUGAGAAAGGCCAGGGAUGAACCCACAUCCUCAAGGAUGCUAGUUGGGUUCAUUAACCACUGAGCCACAAUGGGAACUCCCAUAAGGAACUCUUUAGGAAAAUUUGAUGAAAGUAGAGUCAUAGGCAUGAGAAAGAUUUGUUUAAAAACUACUUUAAGCUUUUUCUUUGGGAUUUUUGUACAGGAGGAUGUCUGUCACAGUGAUUUUCAUGUUAUUUAAUCAGCCAUGGCUGUCACAGUAAUGUGGACACAAAGCCCUUACACAGGCACAAAGGCAUCAGGAAUUACUUGUUAACUCCUCUGUAAUGAAGCAGAACUUAAACUAAGUCCAAGUUCUACCACUAACUUCCUAUAUGAUCUCAAGCAAAUCCAAUAAAUUUCUAAGCCUUGGUUUCCCCAUCUUUAAGUCGAGGGCAAUUUACAGAGUAGUUGUGAAGACAGAGUGGAAAAAAACUGGCAUGUUGACUGAUGUUCCAUAAAUCUGUUCUUUAUCUGAGUAAAGUAGUACAUGGACUUGGGGCCGAUAGACUUAGGAUAAGGAUCCAGCUCUGUCCCUCCCUAAUUGCAUGGCCUGGGACAACUCACACACAUCAUUUGGCUUUACUAUAAAAUGAGAUGACAGUAUUUUCCCCAUUUAAACAGCAUGGUGUAUUCGACAUUCAGUUUUGUCUUCGUCCUCUGAAGGCAGUCUGAGGCAAGGAUUAAGGUGCUGACUUCAAGGUGGAGGUGCAAGACAAACAAGACCAAGGUAAAAAAGAAAAGCAGAAGUGAAUGAAAGAAGUAGGUGAACUAAUGUGAUCUGUACUUUGCUAAGGCGCCACUUGUCAGGGUGAGCUGCAGAGGUGCUCAUCCCGCAAGGCACACUCAUUCCUUCAGCCAGGAUAACUUUCCAGAAGGUUAUACUCAGCACUCUCUUUUUCCUCCCUCUGUAUCUACCUUGUUCCUCUUGGUCUCCUUUUCACAUUGAUCAAGGUCUAUCCCACAGGGAGCUUAUGUCUCACACCUCUGAGUCAUAGCACUUGCCCUCGCCAUAGCUGAUCAGGGAGAAAUUCAUCUCUCCCAUGUGGACCAAAAGGACUAGGCCUUGUGACCUCAACAGCUCAGAGAGCUCUGUGACCACAACGGCCCCAGAACGCCUCAGCCCUACUGUGCUGGGCUCUACUGCUGUGCAGGGGAAGAUGGGCAUCAGUGGCACAGAGCUGGAAUGAGAUUUCAAUCUUUAAAAGAUACUUGGAAAGCUUAAAUGUGAUACGUCCAUUUUAGAAAUAAGGAAUUGGAGGCCCAAAGAGAGAAAUCCACUUCUCUAAGUCACACAGCUACCAUUGUCAAAGUCCCUUAAACCUGUGUUCCUCCACGUCUAUAUUCCAUAAUCUACCUGGCAAUCUUGUCUGAAAGGAGAUUCUGACCCAGUAGGCUUGAGCUGAGCAAAGAUAGGGCCUGUGGACCACGUUUUGUGUAGCAAGGCUUUAAACGGCCAGUCGCCUUGGAAAUCCACACUAAGCAUCAGGUAAAUGAGACUU